RNAcentral lists this ribosomal RNA (328 nucleotides) under uncultured marine organism. Its description in RNAcentral is "SSU rRNA". It matches the Rfam family "Bacterial small subunit ribosomal RNA", at positions 89 to 427 of the family's 1533-position model. The record is from RNAcentral.
ACUCUAGUGGCGGACGGGUGAGUAACAAGAGGGCUUUCCCUUUAGGAGGGGGAUAACAAAUGGAAACGAAUGCUAAUACCCCAUAUGCUUUCGAGUGAAAUGGAUUUAUAUUUAUUCGCCUAGAGAGAAGCUCGCGGCUGAUUAGCUUGUUGGUAAGGUAAGAGCUUACCAAGGCGACGAUCAGUAUCUGGUUUGAGAGGACGAUCAGACACACUGGAACUGAGACACGGUCCAGACUCCUACGGGAGGCAGCAGUGGGGAAUUUUCCGCAAUGGGCGAAAGCCUGACGGAGCAAUACAGCGUGAGGGAAGACUGCCUAUGGGUUGUA